CCUACGGGGGGCAGCAGUGGGGAAUAUUGCACAAUGGGGGAAACCCUGAUGCAGCGACGCCGCGUGAGUGAAGAAGUAUUUCGGUAUGUAAAGCUCUAUCAGCAGGGAAGAAAAUGACGGUACCUGAGUAAGAAGCCCCGGCGAACGACGUGCCAGCAGCCGCGGUAAUACGUAGGGGGCAAGCGUUAUCCGGAUUUACUGGGUGUAAAGGGAGCGUAGACGGCAGCGCAAGUCUGAAGUGAAAUGCCGGGGCUUAACCCCGGAACUGCUUUGGAAACUGUGCAGCUAGAGUGCAGGAGAGGUAAGUGGACUUCCUCGUGUCGCGGUGAAAUGCGUAGAUAUUAGGAGGAACACCAGUGGCGAAGGCGGCUUACUGGACUGUACCUGACGUUGUGGCUCGACAUCGUGGGGAGCAAACCGGAUUAGAUACCCGAGUAGUC
RNAcentral lists this ribosomal RNA (440 nucleotides) under uncultured bacterium. Its description in RNAcentral is "partial 16S ribosomal RNA". It matches the Rfam family "Bacterial small subunit ribosomal RNA", at positions 338 to 795 of the family's 1533-position model. The record is from RNAcentral.